Molecule: ribosomal RNA, 444 nt
Filed under: uncultured bacterium
Lineage: Bacteria
Description: bacterial SSU rRNA
Rfam family: Bacterial small subunit ribosomal RNA
Source: RNAcentral
UAGGGAAUAUUGGUCAAUGGGCGCAAGCCUGAACCAGCCAUGCCGCGUGCAGGAUGACUGCCCUAUGGGUUGUAAACUGCUUUUGUACGGGAAGAAACCCCACUACGUGUAGUGGGUUGACGGUACCGUGAGAAUAAGGAUCGGCUAACUUCGUGCCAGCAGCCGCGGUAAUACGAAGGAUCCUAGCGUUGUCCGGAUUUACUGGGUUUAAAGGGUGCGUAGGCGGACUUUUAAGUCAGUGGUGAAAGCCUGCAGCUUAACUGUAGAAUUGCCAUUGAAACUGAUUGUCUCGAGUGCGGUUGAGGUCACUGGAAUGUAUCAUGUAGCGGUGAAAUGCUUAGAUAUGAUACAGAACACCAAUUGCGAAGGCAGGUGACUAAGCCGUAACUGACGCUGAUGCACGAAAGCGUGGGGAUCAAACAGGAUUAGAUACCCCCGUAGUCC